This 29-nucleotide non-coding RNA is filed under the name Mus musculus (house mouse). The record is from RNAcentral. Lineage: Eukaryota; Metazoa; Chordata; Mammalia; Rodentia; Muridae.
UAAACCUUUACAUCCUGCAUUCUACGAGG